Long non-coding RNA from Notolabrus celidotus (New Zealand spotty), 226 nucleotides. RefSeq lists it as uncharacterized. The transcript has 2 exons. The record is from RefSeq and is a predicted model, not a curated record. Lineage: Eukaryota; Metazoa; Chordata; Actinopteri; Labriformes; Labridae.
UGAAUGCAGCAUCACACAACGUAUCCCCAGAGUAUUGCAGGCAGGGAGACAUGCCUGGACAAGUUUAGAUGCAGCAUUAACAUUAAAGCUGUCGGUGACGGACUUAUUAUACCGUGUGUGCGUCCAUGAUACACAACCACACACACACACUCACCUUCAGACGACAGUGUGAAGAAGUUCAGCUCUAACUUGUAUGCCAAUCACCUUGGAUAAAGAUACAAACUAA